UCCUGGAAUUCCCAAAUCCGGGAAUAAAGUGCAGAAAUGUCCGUGGGGGGAGGGGAAUACCCGGAUUUCUUUAAAUAAUGGGGGAGGGGGGGAUAAAUAUUCCCGUGGGAAAAGGGGGGAGGGGAUCCCAGAGUUCUCGAUCCAAGGGGAUCCCAGAGUUCUCGAUCCAUGAGGAAUUCCAGAUCCCAAAGUUCUCGAUCCAGGGGGAUCCCAAAGUUCUCGAUCCCUGGGGAUCCCAGAGUUCUCGAUCCAGGGGGAAUUGGGGAUCCCAAAGUUCUCAGUUCAUGGGAAUUCCGGAUCCCAAAGUUCUCGAUCCCCAGGGAUCCCAAAGUUCUCAAUCCGGGGGGAUUUGGGGAUCCCGAAGUUCUCAUUCCAAGAGGAAUUCCAGAUCCCAGAGUUCUCGAUCCAGGGGGAAUUCCAGAUCCCAAAGUUUUCAGUUCAUGGGGAAUUCCAGAUCCCAAAGUUUUCAUUCCCCAGGGAUUUGGGGAUCCCAAAGUUCUCAUUCGAGAAGGAUCCCAAGGUUCUCAGUUCAUGGGGAAUUCCAGAUCCCAAAGUUCUCGUUCCAAGCGGAUUUGGGGAUCCCAAAGUUCUCGAUCCCUGGGGAUCCCAAAGUUCUCAGUUCAUGGGAAUUCCAGAUCCCAGAGUUCUUGAUCCAGGGGGAUUUGGGGAUCCCAAAGUUUUUGAUCCCCGGUGAUCCCAAAGUUCUCAUUCCAUGA
This 716-nucleotide long non-coding RNA is filed under the name Cyanistes caeruleus (blue tit). RNAcentral's name for it is "lncRNA (ENSCCEG00000004591.1)". Lineage: Eukaryota; Metazoa; Chordata; Aves; Passeriformes; Paridae. The record is from RNAcentral.